AGGAAAUCUAAUUAGCAUAAUACAAAAAUCCCCACCAAAAUCCAUCUGUUUAAAAUAGUGAUGUCUGUUUGAAAUAGAGAUAUCUGCUUGAAAUAGAGAUGUCUGUUUGAAAUAGAGAUAUCUGUCAAUUGCAGACUCCCCGAGCUACAGCGGUGUUUGUCAGAACAUGAGACGUCCAAAAAAUUCUCAUGAAAAUGUCUGUAGUGUCAGAACGAUUUGGCCAACAAACUAAUAUGACCACUCCAUGGAAAAGAUGAUUCUCACGAACAUGAUGGUGUUCUCUGUUUUGCUCUACGAAACCCACAAGCGUUACGGGACUCGUCUGAAGUCGGUACAGCCGAUCUUCCAACUCCUGUCUGUAGCGUCCGUUGCACACUAAUAUGACACCUCCAUUGAAAGGCGAGAUGCCCACAAGUCUCACAAGACUCGUCUGAAUGUAGCCCGGUACCAGUUUUAAAAAAUUACGGAAGUACUGUAUAUAUAUGGAAAUAGUUGAGUGACAAUUUUUUGUUUGUUAAAUGUGGGUCUUUCUUAUAUCUCCUAGAUGUAGGAUAGACACUGCUACUAGCAGUAUGUGUGUGUAGCCUUGCAUUUAUAACCCUGGUCCAUCUAAAGUCUUCUAAUUCCAUAGAACCUGCUCCUGUCCUGCAUUGGGGAGGAUGCGGUUGUCCAUGUGAUGACCACAGAGGUGGACUUUGGCACCAUAUCGGUUCUGACCGAUGUCUCCAGAACAUCGCAGCUCUCAAACCAGUCCCUGAUACCAGCCCGCUUUGUGGCACAAAUGGUGGUGUUGAGAGAGGCUGGUGUGUCACGCCAUGCUAGGUCACCAGAGUGGGAAGGAGCUCAGCACCUGUCUUGGACAUCUCCUCCCAGCAGCUCAGCUUCUUAGUGGAGAAGUUGUUUGACCAUCUGGCCGAGGUAAAAAUCAUCAUGAGGAACACAAGGAAGGUGGGCUUUGAGUUCAGUGCUCUGUUGGGGGACCAGGAUGAGUGUGGGGACUCUCGGCCUGGACAUCCCCUGGUCAUCCCUAGAACGGUGAGACAGCCCACAGUAUAGAGGAUAUACAGGGCUUUCUGUACCAAUCCUCUCUACCAGCACCCCAUGUUUAGUAUUUAGCGUAACUACAUACACACAUCUAGUGGUUUUACUGUAGCUAUUUAGGGUGUUUUUCCUGUAACCAUUUACCUGUCUCUCAUUACUCAAAGUGCUACACCGAGGCGAAGGCUGAGCGGAAGCUGUCAUUGUACUAUCUCCCUGGGAUCCCUUAGGUUUUCCACAAGACUGCAGGAGGCUUUGUGUGAGCCAGAGAGCAUCACUCUCAGAGGAGAGGGCAUUUUCCCCAGGAUGUGUCUGGACCCAGUGCUCUGUAUGUGCCUUUGUUCGUUGUGGAGUUCUAUCUCCAUACUGUGAAACAGUUUUGUUACAGUACGUUACUCUCUAUUCUUGCCUUGUGUAGAUGGUGAAGGAGUCCACGGAGGCCCUGGAGGAGGACAGGAGAGAUAAAGGCACCACUCGGCCAACCACUGGAGAGGGCCUCCUGUCUGACGAGGACUACAUCCCUACAGUCAGUAUAGUCAACUCUAUCACUAAUCUAUUUUCCCGUGAUUCGUGUACAUAGAUCGC
Molecule: long non-coding RNA, 1623 nt
Organism: Oncorhynchus mykiss (rainbow trout)
Lineage: Eukaryota; Metazoa; Chordata; Actinopteri; Salmoniformes; Salmonidae
Source: Ensembl